CUGUUCUCCACUCAUCCCUCCUUUGGAACACAGUUAAGCAUCACCUCCUCCAGGAAGCCUUCCCUGAUCUUGGUCUAGGGCUGGGUACCCUGUCAUUGCUGCUGUUGCCUUGUUCUUCUUCACAGAAUAUUGCACAUUUAUGUUUACUUAACAGCCUGGAAUAUUUGCUUAGUGUUGGUCUCUGAGGUGAGAUGAUAAACUCUAAGUAGGUAGGGGGUAAUGUUUGUUUUGUGUUCUCUCUCUAUGCCUAGAACUGUGGCACCUAAUGAGUUCUCCAAUAAAUCAUUGACUGACUGCUCUGAUGGGACCACAUUUAGCAGACUGGAUUCAGUGCUGAACACCCUUGUUAGGAAAAAGAGUGCAUGUCACUUCUCAAGGAAGGGGUGGUAUCACCCUCAGAGAAACUAUUACACUUGGGCACAAGGAGACAUAUCAGAGAGAGCCACUGUUGUCAGUUUGUUAAUUACCUCCAUGCUUCCGCUGCUGCUGCUGCUGCUAAGUCGCUUCAGUCGUGUCCAACUCUGUGCGACCCCAUAGACGGCAGCCCACCAGGCUCCCCCGUCCCUGGGAUUCUCCACGCAAGAACACUGGAGUGGGUUGCCAUUUCCUUCUCCAAUGCAGGAUAGUGAAAAGUGAAAGUGAAGUCACUCAGUCGUGUCCGAUUCUUCGAGACCCCAUGGACUGCAGCCUACCAGGCUCCUCCGCCCAUAGCCCUUUGCAAAUACCUUUGCAUGCAUAUAUUCACAUAGAAAAUGUAUAGCUUAUUUGUGUUUGCUUUUUUUAAAUAUGCAUAGUACUCUGCAAACUGUAUGAAACACUCAACAGCCAGUCUGUUGGUUCACAGUUGUGUUUCUGAGAUUUAUCCAUAGAGAUUUAUUUAGACUGAGUGUACUCUUUUUCAUGACUCUAUAAUGUUCCAUCAAGGGACUAUAUAAUACAUUUUAUGCAUCCACUCCCCUACUGGGGGCCUUAUAGGUUGGUUCAAAUAUUUUGCUAUCACAACGUAACUGUGGAUACAUGUGUACCUACUUCCUCGUUCAUCUCUGGGUAGUAGAAAGAACAUAUUGGGUAUUUCAACAGAGUCGGUUAAUUUGCUUAGGUGACUGUGAGCUGCAUGAGAACAGAAAUAGGCCACUUUUUAGGAAGAAGUUCCCUAUCUCUGCA
This is a long non-coding RNA of Bos indicus x Bos taurus (hybrid cattle), 1164 nucleotides long. Lineage: Eukaryota; Metazoa; Chordata; Mammalia; Artiodactyla; Bovidae. The record is from Ensembl.